This is a long non-coding RNA of Mauremys reevesii (Reeves's turtle), 144 nucleotides long. RefSeq lists it as uncharacterized. The record is from RefSeq and is a predicted model, not a curated record. The transcript has 3 exons. Lineage: Eukaryota; Metazoa; Chordata; Testudines; Geoemydidae.
GCAUUUGGUAGUGCCUUUCUUCAUGAGGGAGUAUUAGGAUGAAGAUUGACAUUUUGGGCACAUGGCCUGUCUCCAAUAAAGAGAAGUGGCCAAGAUACUGUUUUCCCUACUAAUUCUUUGAGAUCAAUUUACUUAAUUCCACAG